This 1216-nucleotide ribosomal RNA is filed under the name Leuconostoc mesenteroides subsp. mesenteroides. Its description in RNAcentral is "bacterial SSU rRNA". It matches the Rfam family "Bacterial small subunit ribosomal RNA", at positions 173 to 1375 of the family's 1533-position model. Lineage: Bacteria; Bacillati; Bacillota; Bacilli; Lactobacillales; Lactobacillaceae. The record is from RNAcentral.
UUGGUUAGUGUCGCAUGACACAAAGUUAAAAGGCGCUUCGGCGUCACCUAGAGAUGGAUCCGCGGUGCAUUAGUGUUGGUGGGGUAAAGGCCUACCAAGACCCAAUGAUGCAUAGCCGAGUUGAGAGACUGAUCGGCCACAUUGGGACUGAGACACGGCCCAAACUCCUACGGGAGGCUGCAGUAGGGAAUCUUCCACAAUGGGCGAAAGCCUGAUGGAGCAACGCCGCGUGUGUGAUGAAGGCUUUCGGGUCGUAAAGCACUGUUGUAUGGGAAGAACAGCUAGAAUAGGAAAUGAUUUUAGUUUGACGGUACCAUACCAGAAAGGGACGGCUAAAUACGUGCCAGCAGCCGCGGUAAUACGUAUGUCCCGAGCGUUAUCCGGAUUUAUUGGGCGUAAAGCGAGCGCAGAACGGUUUAUUAAGUCUGAUGUGAAGCCCGGAGCUCAACUCCGGAAUGGCAUUGGAGAACUGGUUAACUUGAGUGCAGUAGAGGUAAGUGGAACUCCAUGUGUAGCGGUGGAAUGCGUAGAUAUAUGGAAGAACACCAGUGGCGAAGGCGGCUUACUGGACUGCAACUGGACGGUGAGGCUCGAAAGUGUGGGUAGCAACAGGAUUAGAUACCGUGGUAGUCCACACCGUAAACGAUGAACACUAGGUGUUAGGAGGUUUCCGCCUCUUAGUGCCGAAGCUAACGCAUUAAGUGUUCCGCCUGGGGAGUACGACCGCAAGGUUGAAACUCAAAGGAAUUGACGGGGACCCGCACAAGCGGUGGAGCAUGUGGUUUAAUUCGAAGCACGCGAAGAACCUUACCAGGUCUUGAGCAUCCUUUGAAGCUUUUAGAGAUAGAAGUGUUCUCUUCGGAGACAAAGUGACAGGUGGUGCAUGGUCGUCGUCAGCUCGUGUCGUGAGAUGUUGGGUUAAGUCCCGCAACGAGCGCAACCCUUAUUGUUAGUUGCCAGCAUUCAGAUGGGCACUCUAGCGAGACUGCCGGUGACAAACCGGAGGAAGGCGGGGACGACGUCAGAUCAUCAUGCCCCUUAUGACCUGGGCUACACACGUGCUACAAUGGCGUAUACAACGAGUUGCCAACCCGCGAGGGUGAGCUAAUCUCUUAAAGUACGUCUCAGUUCGGAUUGUAGUCUGCAACUCGACUAACCCAUGAAGUCGGAAUCGCUAGUAAUCGCGGAUCAGCACGCCGCGGUUAACCGGCAAAUU